CUUUGGGUUCUAAGUUAUUCUAUUCUUGUGUUGUGCUUCUCUCCCUCUCCUUCUCCUCAUCCACCACAAAGCCAACAGCCAAAACUCAAACAAUAGCCUCACUCACAAAAAAAUGGUGAGAGUGAUUCCCAUGGCUUCUUCGAUUCGACCCACUCUCUCCUCACUUAGGUUUUCAUCACCUUCUUCUCUCUCUCUCUUCAACCCUUCUCCUCUUCUCUCUUCCUUCAAUCUUCCCACUGUGUCUCAAUCCCCUAGUUUUGGCCUGAAAGCAUCUAGGAUGUUCAGACAAGAUGGUAAAUCCAUGAGAGUGAUGGCAUCAGGGAACGUGUCCCAAUCAGUCACAGCUGCUUCACAAGAAAAUGUACUUGAAUGGGUGAAGCAGGAUAAGAGAAGAAUGCUCCAUGUUGUAUAUCGUGUUGGGGAUUUGGACAGGACCAUAAAGUUUUAUACCGAAUGCCUGGGAAUGAAGCUCCUCAGAAAGCGGGACAUACCGGAAGAGAGAUACACUAAUGCCUUCCUUGGAUAUGGGCCCGAAGACUCACACUUUGUUAUUGAACUGACAUACAAUUAUGGGGUUGACAAGUAUGAUAUUGGAACUGGAUUUGGCCAUUUUGGUAUUGCUGUUGAUGAUGUUGCAAAAGCAGUGGAGCUAAUAAGAGCUAAGGGUGGCAAAAUAACUAGAGAGCCUGGUCCUGUCAAGGGAGGCCGUUCAGUAAUUGCAUUUAUUGAAGAUCCUGAUGGUUACAAAUUUGAACUUCUGGAAAGAGGUCCUACUCCUGAACCUUUGUGUCAAGUAAUGCUUCGAGUGGGUGAUCUCAAUCGUUCCAUAGAAUUUUAUGAGAAGGCAUUUGGUAUGGAGCUGCUUCGUACACGAGAUAAUCCAGAUUACAAGUAUACCAUAGCAAUGUUGGGAUAUGGUCCAGAAGAUAAAAGUACUGUUCUGGAGUUGACUUACAAUUAUGGAGUCACUGAAUAUGAUAAAGGAAACGCUUAUGCUCAGAUUGCAAUAGGCACAGAUGAUGUGUACAAAACUGCAGAAGCGGUUAAACUAGCUGGAGGAAAGGUUACUCGGGAACCUGGACCAUUACCUGGUAUCAACACAAAAAUUACUGCAUGCUUGGAUCCUGAUGGUUGGAAGACGGUAUGUUUCAUUGAUCUUUAUUAUUUAACGUCUCCCCAAGGCUUAAGCUGGAAAUUGAAAACUCAUGAACGGUUUUAUAUCUAAUACAUCUCUGCAUGCAAGAGCUUGAACCUUGGAUGACACAACUCAAUUUUCCCUUGUGGAUAUUCAACGCAUACAUAAAAGAAUGAGGAUUACAAGGAUCAAACUGUUGAUUACUAGGUGAUAAAGGCUUUAAUACCAUAUCAAAGAUGAACUGAUUCGUGUAUCUUUGAGAUGUUAGAUAUAAAAUCAUUCGUGUAUCUUUACCCAACAGCUUAAGCCUGAGGUUUUUGUAGAUAAUGUUGAUUUUCUUAAGGAGUUGGAGUAGAGAAUUUAGGUAGGUAAUCACAGCAAUCUUGUAAGAUCUGUAUCAAAAUCUCCGUCAAAGAAUCGGUAUUCUUUGAAGAAAAAUGCUUACAUCAGAGAGUGUAUCAUAUUCAAAUCCGAUUUUGUAGAUAAUGUAAUAAUGGCCAUUGAAGCAAAUAUCUUUAUCUAUAUACAAUGAAACAAGCUUGAGAAACAUG
RNA transcript from Abrus precatorius (Indian licorice), 1686 nucleotides. It is a transcript of the gene named probable lactoylglutathione lyase, chloroplastic, with no coding region annotated. NCBI's taxonomy places the organism in Eukaryota, Viridiplantae, Streptophyta, Magnoliopsida, Fabales, Fabaceae. The transcript has 9 exons. The record is from RefSeq and is a predicted model, not a curated record.